UAGGGAAUCUUCGGCAAUGGACGAAAGUCUGACCGAGCAACGCCGCGUGAGUGAAGAAGGUUUUCGGAUCGUAAAACUCUGUUGGUAGAGAAGAAGGUUGGUGAGAGUGGAAAGCUCAUCAAGUGACGGUAACUACCCAGAAAGGGACGGCUAACUACGUGCCAC
This 165-nucleotide ribosomal RNA is filed under the name uncultured bacterium. RNAcentral describes it as "partial 16S rRNA". It matches the Rfam family "Bacterial small subunit ribosomal RNA", at positions 355 to 511 of the family's 1533-position model. The record is from RNAcentral.